Lemur catta (Ring-tailed lemur) is the source of this 359-nucleotide long non-coding RNA. RefSeq lists it as uncharacterized. Lineage: Eukaryota; Metazoa; Chordata; Mammalia; Primates; Lemuridae. The transcript is spliced from 3 exons. The record is from RefSeq and is a predicted model, not a curated record.
UGGUACUAUCCCACACCUCCUGUAAGCCCACCCCAGAACUAGGCCAAUAAAAGGAAAUCACCUGGGAGUUCUCAACGUCUUUCUCCACUUGUGAAGACUGACCCGUUCCUGUCUCUGGAACGUAUUUUCACUAGAGCUACAGCAACAAAUUUAAGGCCAAACUAAACAAUGUAUUCCCAAGAGCUGCAUGUCUUCGAUUGUCCUCAAAUGUCAGUUGGAAUCUGGGACAACACCUAGAGGCUGUGCCUGGAGAUUAAUUAAGCCAUUUGUGGAGCUCUCUUCAAAUGAAAUCCUAUCUUUUCUGACAUCCUAUAUUUUUCAGCUUAAUUUUAAAAUUUCCUAUAUAAAAAUGCCUUCCC